This 468-nucleotide ribosomal RNA is filed under the name uncultured bacterium. RNAcentral's name for it is "partial 16S ribosomal RNA". It matches the Rfam family "Bacterial small subunit ribosomal RNA", at positions 28 to 507 of the family's 1533-position model. The record is from RNAcentral.
GACGAACGCUGGCGGCGUGCUUAACACAUGCAAGUCGAACGGAAAGGCCCUGCUUUUGUGGGGUGCUCGAGUGGCGAACGGGUGAGUAACACGUGAGUAACCUGCCCUUGACUUUGGGAUAACUUCAGGAAACUGGGGCUAAUACCGGAUAGGAGCUCCUGCUGCAUGGUGGGGGUUGGAAAGUUUCGGCGGUUGGGGAUGGACUCGCGGCUUAUGAGCCUGUUGGUGGGGUAGUGGCUUACCAAGGCUUUGACGGGUAGCCGGCCUGAGAGGGUGAACGGCCACAUUGGGACUGAGGUACGGCCCAGACGCGUACGGGAGGCAGCAGUGGGGAAUAUUGCACAGUGGGCGGAAGCCUGAUGCGGAGGCGCCGCGUGCGGGAUGACGGCCUUCGGGUUGUAAACCGCUUUCGCCUGUGACGAAGCGUGAGUGACGGUAAUGGGUAAAGAAGCACCGGCUAACUACGUG